RNAcentral lists this ribosomal RNA (375 nucleotides) under uncultured bacterium. Its description in RNAcentral is "bacterial SSU rRNA". It matches the Rfam family "Bacterial small subunit ribosomal RNA", at positions 28 to 404 of the family's 1533-position model. The record is from RNAcentral.
GACGAACGCUGGCGGCGUGCUUAACACAUGCAAGUCGAGCGGUAAGGCCCUUUCGGGGGUACACGAGCGGCGAACGGGUGAGUAACACGUGGGUGACCUGCCUCUAGCUCUGGGAUAAGCCUGGGAAGCUGGGUCUAAUACCGGAUAUGACCUCGCGGUGCAUGUUGCGGGGUGGAAAGCCUUGUGCGGCUAGGGAUGGGCCCGCGGCCUAUCAGCUUGUUGGUGGGGUGAUGGCCUACCAAGGCGACGACGGGUAGCCGGCCUGAGAGGGCGACCGGCCACACUGGGACUGAGACACGGCCCAGACUCCUACGGGAGGCAGCAGUGGGGAAUCUUGCGCAAUGGGCGAAAGCCUGACGCAGCGACGCCGCGUGA